GACGAACCGUGCAAACGUUGUUCGGAAUCACUGGGCUUAAAGGGCGCGUAGGCGGAUAUUCAAGUCGGUGGUGAAAUCCCCCAGCUUAACUGGGGAACUGCCUUCGAUACUGGGUAUCUCGAGUGAGGUAGGGGCAUGCGGAACUGAUGGUGGAGCGGUGAAAUGUGUUGAUAUCAUCAGGAACACCGGUGGCGAAAGCGGCUUACUGGGUCUCUUCUGACGCUGAGAAACGAAAGCCAGGGGAGCGAAGGGG
Molecule: ribosomal RNA, 253 nt
Filed under: uncultured bacterium
Lineage: Bacteria
Description: partial 16S ribosomal RNA
Rfam family: Bacterial small subunit ribosomal RNA
Source: RNAcentral